RNAcentral lists this unclassified non-coding RNA (399 nucleotides) under soil metagenome. RNAcentral describes it as "partial contains 5.8S ribosomal RNA, internal transcribed spacer 2, and large subunit ribosomal RNA". The stretch from base 1 to 120 matches the Rfam family "5.8S ribosomal RNA", at positions 35 to 154 of the family's 154-position model. The record is from RNAcentral.
GAUGAAGAACGCAGCGAAAUGCGAUACUUGGUGUGAAUUGCAGAAUCCCGUGAACCAUCGAGUCUUUGAACGCAAGUUGCGCCCGAAGCCUCGGCUAAGGGCACGUCUGCCUGGGCGUCACGCAUCGCGUCUCCCCCAACCCGCCAAGGCGGAGGGGAAGGAAGAUGGCUUCCCGUGCCUCACCCGGCGCGGUUGGCCUAAAUUUGGAGCCCGCGGCACUUAGCUCUCGCGGCGAUAGGUGGUGAACAAGGCCUUGGCCGUGCAAACAACCCGCUGCGAAGCUCUAUGUCACGUGCGCUCGUCGGACCCUUUGAAGUUGCCUUCGGUGACUUAAAACCUUUGCGAACCCAGGUCAGGCGGGGCUACCCGCUGAAUUUAAGCAUAUCAAUAAGCGGAGGA